This 68-nucleotide transfer RNA is filed under the name Attagenus hottentotus. RNAcentral's name for it is "tRNA-Met". Lineage: Eukaryota; Metazoa; Arthropoda; Insecta; Coleoptera; Dermestidae. The record is from RNAcentral.
AAAAAGGUAAGCUAAAAAAGCUAUUGGGUUCAUACCCCAUGAAUGUAGGUCCACCCCUCCCCUCUUUA